CGAAUGUUUACAUUUGAGAGCGGUUAGUGGCGUACUGGUGAGUAACACGUAAGCAACCUGCCUAUUAGAGGGGAAUAACAGUGAGAAAUCAUUGCUAAUACCGCAUAUACUGUAAGUAUCGCAUGAUGCAAACAGGAAAGGAGCAAUCCGCUAAUAGAUGGGCUUGCGUCUGAUUAGAUAGUUGGUGGGGUAAUGGCCUACCAAGUCGACGAUCAGUAGCCGGACUGAGAGGUUGAACGGCCACAUUGGGACUGAGAUACGGCCCAGACUCCUACGGGAGGCAGCAGUCGGGAAUAUUGCACAAUGGAGGAAACUCUGAUGCAGUGACGCCGCGUGCAGGAAGAAGGUUUUCGGAUUGUAAACUGCUUUAGACAGGGAAGAAACAAGACAGUACCUGUAGAAUAAGCUCCGGCUAACUACGUGCCAGCAGCCGCGGUAAUACGUAGGGAGCAAGCGUUAUCCGGAUUUAUUGGGUGUAAAGGGUGCGUAGACGGGAAUUUAAGUUAGUUGUGAAAUCCCUCGGCUUAACUGAGGAACUGCAACUAAAACUGAAUUUCUUGAGUGCGGGAGAGGAAAGUGGAAUUCCUAGUGUAGCGGUGAAAUGCGUAGAUAUUAGGAGGAACACCAGUGGCGAAGGCGACUUUCUGGGCCGUAACUGACGUUGAGGCACGAAAGUGUGGGGAGCAAACAGGAUUAGAUACCCUGGUAGUCCACACUGNUAACGAUGGAUACUAGGUGUAGGGAAUGUUAAGUUUNCUGUGCCGU
Molecule: ribosomal RNA, 765 nt
Filed under: uncultured bacterium
Lineage: Bacteria
Description: bacterial SSU rRNA
Rfam family: Bacterial small subunit ribosomal RNA
Source: RNAcentral